RNAcentral lists this non-coding RNA (279 nucleotides) under Clostridium magnum. RNAcentral describes it as "T-box sequence". It matches the Rfam family "T-box leader". Rfam says of the family: Uncharged tRNA acts as the effector for transcription antitermination of genes in the T-box leader family. T-boxes are found upstream of many aminoacyl-tRNA synthetase genes and some amino acid biosynthetic genes usually in Gram-positive bacteria. The record is from RNAcentral. Lineage: Bacteria; Bacillati; Bacillota; Clostridia; Eubacteriales; Clostridiaceae.
AUAAAGGCUGUGAUGGAGAGAAAAAUAUUCGAUGCAUUAAUUGCAGAGAGCAAACAUUAGGUGGGAGUUUGUAUUAAUGUGAAUAUAUAAUAACCACUCCGGAGCCUCCUAGUUGAAAGACUUUUGUUAAGUAGACAUGGACGUUUACCAGCGAUAUAUGGUUAGGGUUCACACUGAGUAAGAUAUACUUCUAUGAAGUCGACCCGAUAAUGAGAGGCAAUUAGUAUAUCUAAUUGCAAAUAAGGUGGUACCACGGAAGCUUAAUCUUUCGUCCUUAAU